UUUGGGUAGUAUAGUCAUUUUCAUAAUAUUGAUUCUUCCGAAUGGGAGAAAAUAAUUGCAAAUGAAACAACUGACAAAGGAUUAAUCUCCAAAACAUAUAAAUAGCUCAAAUGGUUCAAUAUCAGAAAAACAAACAUCCCAAUUUAAAAAUGGGCAGAAGACCUAAACAGAUAUUUCUCCAAAGAAGACAUAUAGAUGGCCAAUAAGCAGAUAAAAAGAUGCUCAAUAUCACUAAUUAUUAGAGAAAUGCAAAUCAAAACUACAAUGAGGUAUCACCUCACACCAGUCAGAAUGGCCAUCAUCACAAAAUUUACAAACAAUAAAUGCUGAAGAGGAUGUGGAGAAAAGAGAACUCUCUUGCACUGUUGAUAGGAAUGUAAAUUGAUACAGCAACUAUGGAGAACAGUAUGGAGAUCCCUUAAAAAACUAGUUAUAAAACUACAACAUGACCCAGAAAUCCCACUACUGGGCGUAUACCCUGAGAAAACUAUAAUUGAAAAAGACACAUGGACCCCCAAUGUUCAUAGCAGCACUAUUUACGAUAGCUAGGACAUGGCAGCAACCUAGAUGUCCAUCAACAGAUGAAUGGAUAUAGAUGUGUGGAACAUAUAUGCUGUUGCUCAGCAGCAGUAAUACAUUAGCAUAAGCUACGGAGAAGGCAAUGGCAUCCCACUCCAGUACUCUUGCCUGGAAAAUCCCAUGGACCGAGGAGCCUGGUAGGCUGCAGUUCAUGAGGUCACUAAGAGUCGGACACGACUGAGCGACUUCACUUUCACUUUUCACUUUCAUGCAUUGGAGAAGGAAAUGGCAACCCACUCCAGUGUUCUUGCCUGGAGAAUCCCAGGGACGGGGGAGCCUGGUGGGCUGCCGUCUAUGGGGUCGCACAGAGUCGGACACAGCUGAAGCGACUUAGCAGCAGCAGCAGCAGCAUAAGCUAAGUGACAUACCCACCAUGAUGGGCUUCCUAUGUGGUGCUAGUGGUAAAGAACCCUCCUGUCAACACAGAAGACAUAAGAGAUGCAGGGAAUCUUCCCAACCCAGGUCUCCUGCAUUGUAGGCGGAUUCUUUACUGUCUGAGCCACCAGGGAAGCCCCCAUAAAAAUUAACCAUGCCAUAUUUCAGGGCCACUCUUGCCUUCUGAGAUGGCCUACACUCAGUUUGUAUAGCGUGUCUGUCUCUAAAUAAAUCCACUUCUUACCUAUCACUUUGUCUCUCACCGAAUUCUUUUUGCAAUGAGACACCAAGAACCUGAGCUUCAUUAAGUCCUGAGACCUGG
Molecule: long non-coding RNA, 1276 nt
Organism: Bos taurus (domestic cattle)
Lineage: Eukaryota; Metazoa; Chordata; Mammalia; Artiodactyla; Bovidae
Source: Ensembl